GACGAACGCUGGCGGCGUGCUUAACACAUGCAAGUCGAACGGAAAGGCCCUGCUUUUGUGGGGUGCUCGAGUGGCGAACGGGUGAGUAACACGUGAGUAACCUGCCCUUGACUUUGGGAUAACUUCAGGAAACUGGGGCUAAUACCGGAUAGGAGCUCCUGCUGCAUGGUGGGGGUUGGAAAGUUUCGGCGGUUGGGGAUGGACUCGCGGCUUAUCAGCUUGUUGGUGGGGUAGUGGCUUACCAAGGCUUUGACGGGUAGCCGGCCUGAGAGGGUGACCGGCCACAUUGGGACUGAGAUACGGCGCAGACUCCUACGGGAGGCAGUAGUAGGAAAUAUUGCACGAUGGACGGAAGCCUUAUGCAGCGAGGCCGCGUGCGGGAUAACGGCCUUCGGGUUGGAAACCGCUUUCGCCUGUGACGAAGCGUGAGUGACGGUAAUUGGUAAAGAAGCACCGGCUAACUACGUG
Molecule: ribosomal RNA, 468 nt
Filed under: uncultured bacterium
Lineage: Bacteria
Description: partial 16S ribosomal RNA
Rfam family: Bacterial small subunit ribosomal RNA
Source: RNAcentral